Molecule: regulatory RNA element, 94 nt
Organism: Firmicutes bacterium CAG:238
Lineage: Bacteria; Bacillati; Bacillota
Rfam family: Glycine riboswitch aptamer
About the family: This family represents the bacterial glycine riboswitch.
Source: Rfam
GGAUAGCGUUCUGGAGACGCCCGCUUACGCGGGGGCCGAAGGUGCAAGGCGAAGAAUACGCCAAUCUCUCAGGCAAAAGGACAGAAAGAAAUGA